RNAcentral lists this long non-coding RNA (209 nucleotides) under Vigna radiata. Its description in RNAcentral is "long non-coding RNA (VRAD_LNC014797)". The record is from RNAcentral. Lineage: Eukaryota; Viridiplantae; Streptophyta; Magnoliopsida; Fabales; Fabaceae.
UUCUGUUCUUAAUGCGUUAUUAAUUACUAGGGGAGGCUAGGGAUAGCAAGCCAGUAACUAAUAAUAGGCUCUUUUCACCGAGGGAUCGGGUUAAGGGUAGACUAAGAAAGUUUGCAUGACAAUUAGAUAACAAAGCGAAACAAAUAAGAAAAGUAAAUAUGUGAGAGUGAUUGGGUGAAAUCUGAACCCUAGCAACAAAUCCAUCUCAU